GAUGAACGCUGGCGGCGUGCCUAAUACAUGCAAGUCGAGCGAACAGACGAGGCGCUUGCUCCUCUCACGUUAGCGGCGGACGUGUGAGUAACACGUGGAUAACCUACCUAUCAGACUGGGAUCACUUCGGGAAACCGGAGCUAAUCCCGGAUAAUCUCUUGCACCGCAUGGUUCAAUAGUGAAAUACGGUUUUUCUGUCACUACUCGAUGGUUCGGCGCCGCAUUAGCUAGUUGGUAGGGUAACGGCUUACCAAGGCGACGAGGCGUAGCCGACGUGAGAGGGUGAUCGGCCGCACUGGAAGGGGGACACGGUCCAGACUACUAAGGGAGGCAGCAGUAGGGAAUGUGACGCAGUGGGCGGAAGCCUGACGGAGCAACGCCGCGUGAGUGAUGAAGGUCUUCGGAGAGGAAAGCUCUGUUAUGAGGGAAGAACAAAUGUGGAAGGAACUAUGCACGUCGUGACGGUAAUUAGUAAGAAAGCAACGGCUAACUACGUG
This 497-nucleotide ribosomal RNA is filed under the name uncultured bacterium. RNAcentral describes it as "partial 16S ribosomal RNA". It matches the Rfam family "Bacterial small subunit ribosomal RNA", at positions 28 to 507 of the family's 1533-position model. The record is from RNAcentral.